CCGCAGCCACGGUAAUACAGAGGGUGCGAGCGUUAAUCGGAUUUACUGGGCGUAAAGCGUGCGUAGGCGGCUUCUUAAGUCGGAUGUGAAAUCCCUGAGCUUAACUUAGGAAUUGCAUUCGAUACUGGGAAGCUAGAGUAUGGGAGAGGAUGGUAGAAUUCCAGGUGUAGCGGUGAAAUGCGUAGAGAUCUGGAGGAAUACCGAUGGCGAAGGCAGCCAUCUGGCCUAAUACUGACGCUGAGGUACGAAAGCAUGGGGAGCAAACAGGAUUAGAUACCCCAGUAGUCCCUGUCUCUUAUAC
RNAcentral lists this ribosomal RNA (301 nucleotides) under uncultured bacterium. RNAcentral's name for it is "partial 16S ribosomal RNA". It matches the Rfam family "Bacterial small subunit ribosomal RNA", at positions 509 to 807 of the family's 1533-position model. The record is from RNAcentral.